Molecule: transfer RNA, 73 nt
Filed under: bacterium
Lineage: Bacteria
Also listed under: 3 other names
Description: tRNA-Phe
Rfam family: tRNA
About the family: Transfer RNA (tRNA) molecules are approximately 80 nucleotides in length. Their secondary structure includes four short double-helical elements and three loops (D, anti-codon, and T loops). Further hydrogen bonds mediate the characteristic L-shaped molecular structure. tRNAs have two regions of fundamental functional importance: the anti-codon, which is responsible for specific mRNA codon recognition, and the 3' end, to which the tRNAs corresponding amino acid is attached (by aminoacyl-tRNA synthetases). tRNAs cope with the degeneracy of the genetic code in two manners: having more than one tRNA (with a specific anti-codon) for a particular amino acid; and 'wobble' base-pairing, i.e. permitting non-standard base-pairing at the 3rd anti-codon position.
Source: RNAcentral
GGGCAGGUAGCUCAGGGGGUAGAGCGUAGGACUGAAAAUCCUAAGGUCGGCGGUUCGACUCCGCCCCUGCCCA